Molecule: microRNA precursor, 79 nt
Filed under: Aotus nancymaae (Ma's night monkey)
Lineage: Eukaryota; Metazoa; Chordata; Mammalia; Primates; Aotidae
Description: miRNA (ENSANAG00000012303.1)
Source: RNAcentral
AUUAGGUUGGUGCAAAAGUAAUCACAGUUUUUCAAUUACUUUUAGUGGCAGAAACCGCAAUUACUUUUGCACCAACCUA